CCUACGGGUGGCUGCAGUGAGGAAUAUUGGUCAAUGGCCGGGAGGCUGAACCAGCCAAGUCGCGUGAGGGAAGACGGCCCUACGGGUUGUAAACCUCUUUUGUCAGGGAGCAAGGUGCAGGUCGGGACCUGCUGUGAGAGUACCUGAAGAAAAAGCAUCGGCUAACUCCGUGCCAGCAGCCGCGGUAAUACGGAGGAUGCGAGCGUUAUCCGGAUUUAUUGGGUUUAAAGGGUGCGCAGGCGGAGGUGCAAGUCAGUGGUCAAAUUGCGGGGCUCAACCCCGUACGGCCGUUGAAACUGCAUCCCUUGAGUGCGCGAGAAGUAUGCGGAAUGCGUGGUGUAGCGGUGAAAUGCAUAGAUAUCACGCAGAACCCCGAUUGCGAAGGCAGCCUGCCAAGCCAUGACUGACGCUGAUGCACGAAAGCGUGGGGAUCAAACAGGAUUAGAUACCCUGGUAGUC
RNAcentral lists this ribosomal RNA (459 nucleotides) under uncultured bacterium. Its description in RNAcentral is "partial 16S ribosomal RNA". It matches the Rfam family "Bacterial small subunit ribosomal RNA", at positions 338 to 795 of the family's 1533-position model. The record is from RNAcentral.